GACGAACGCUGGCGGCGUGCCUAAUACAUGCAAGUGGGACGCAAGGAAACACACUGUGCUUGCACACCGUGUUUUCUUGAGUCGCGAACGGGUGAGUAACGCGUAGGUAACCUGCCUAUUAGCGGGGGAUAACUAUUGGAAACGAUAGCUAAUACCGCAUAAUAUUAAUUAUUGCAUGCUAAUUGAUUGAAAGAUGCAAGCGCAUCACUAGUAGAUGGACCUGCGUUGUAUUAGCUAGUUGGUAAGGUAAGAGCUUACCAAGGCGACGUUACAUAGCCGACCUGAGAGGGUGAUCGGCCACACUGGGACGGAGACACGGCCCAGACUCCUACGGGAGGCAGCAGUAGGGAAUCUUCGGCAAUGGACGAAAGUCUGACCGAGCAACGCCGCGUGAGUGAAGAAGGGUUUCGGAUCGUAAAGCUCUGUUGUAAGUCAAGAACGUGUGUGAGAGUGGAAAGUUCACACAGUGACGGUAGCUUACCAGAAAGGGAAGGCUAACUACGUG
Molecule: ribosomal RNA, 505 nt
Filed under: uncultured bacterium
Lineage: Bacteria
Description: partial 16S ribosomal RNA
Rfam family: Bacterial small subunit ribosomal RNA
Source: RNAcentral